This 448-nucleotide ribosomal RNA is filed under the name uncultured bacterium. RNAcentral's name for it is "bacterial SSU rRNA". It matches the Rfam family "Bacterial small subunit ribosomal RNA", at positions 330 to 793 of the family's 1533-position model. The record is from RNAcentral.
UCCAGACUCCUACGGGAGGCAGCAGUGGGGAAUAUUGCACAAUGGGGGAAACCCUGAUGCAGCGACGCCGCGUGAGUGAAGAAGUAUUUCGGUAUGUAAAGCUCUCUCAGCAGGGAAGAAAAUGACGGUACCUGACUAAGAAGCCCCGGCUAACUACGUGCCAGCAGCCGCGGUAAUACGUAGGGGGCAAGCGUUAUCCGGAUUUACUGGGUGUAAAGGGAGCGUAGACGGCGGUGCAAGCCAGAUGUGAAAGCCCGGGGCUCAACCCCGGGACUGCAUUUGGAACUGUGCUGCUAGAGUGUCGGAGAGGCAGGCGGAAUUCCUAGUGUAGCGGUGAAAUGCGUAGAUAUUAGGAGGAACACCAGUGGCGAAGGCGGUCUGCUGGACAGCAGCUGACGCUGAGGCGCGAAAGCGUGGGGAGCAAACAGGAUUAGAUACCCCUGUAUGG